CUCCACCAUCGUGGACUGCAGUUGGUGAUGGUGCUGCUGUAUCUGCUCUGAUCUGGAGGAUCACUCGAACAAGAACCUGAAGCUGGUUGAGAACAUUCAGCCUGGCUCAAACCCCAGAGGAGCGACUCUGAAAGAAGAAGAGCGUCUGCGAGUGAGAGAACUACAGUGAUACCUUUAAACACUGGAGGAGCAGCAGAGAGACAGAGUCGAGGAGCGUAUCAGGUCACGUUUCACUGCGUGUUACCUACCUGUAUAACCAUGCACGUG
This is a long non-coding RNA of Pelmatolapia mariae (spotted tilapia), 267 nucleotides long. RefSeq lists it as uncharacterized. The record is from RefSeq and is a predicted model, not a curated record. The transcript has 3 exons. Lineage: Eukaryota; Metazoa; Chordata; Actinopteri; Cichliformes; Cichlidae.